UGAACUAUAACUUUACGAAUCCAAUCAUUUCCUUAUAUAAUUCACUUGUGCACAAGAGUUAUGCGAAUAUUCGAGUAAUUAUUUACUUUGUUGCAGACAAAACCUGGUCUGAGUUCAUAUGCUGCCGACCCUCCGGCAGCUGCCAACUCUCUAAAACCGCUCCUCGAGGAAGCCGAGGAUGUUGUUCCAACAGAGUUGCGUCCCGACACACCGGUUCGACUUGGGGCAACUGCAGGUCUGAGGUUAUUACAAGGAGAUGCGGCUGAAAGAAUUUUGGAAGCGGUGAGAAAUUUGUUGAAGAAUGAAAGCACCCUAAAAUACAGGGAUGACUGGGUCUCCAUUCUUGAUGGAAACCAGGAAGGAACUUAUCUGUGGGUAAGUUUAUAUCAUCCACGAGCAUUUGUCUUCAA
This is a long non-coding RNA of Olea europaea var. sylvestris, 410 nucleotides long. RefSeq lists it as uncharacterized. The transcript is spliced from 3 exons. Lineage: Eukaryota; Viridiplantae; Streptophyta; Magnoliopsida; Lamiales; Oleaceae. The record is from RefSeq and is a predicted model, not a curated record.